AUUGAACGCUGGCGGCAGGCCUAACACAUGCAAGUCGAGCGGAUGGAGGGAGCUUGCUCCUGGAUUCAGCGGCGGACGGGUGAGUAAUGCCUAGGAAUCUGCCUGGUAGUGGGGGAUAACGUCCGGAAACGGGCGCUAAUACCGCAUACGUCCUGAGGGAGAAAGUGGGGGAUCUUCGGACCUCACGCUAUCAGAUGAGCCUAGGUCGGAUUAGCUAGUUGGUGGGGUAAAGGCCUACCAAGGCGACGAUCCGUAACUGGUCUGAGAGGAUGAUCAGUCACACUGGAACUGAGACACGGUCCAGACUCCUACGGGAGGCAGCAGUGGGGAAUAUUGGACAAUGGGCGAAAGCCUGAUCCAGCCAUGCCGCGUGUGUGAAGAAGGUCUUCGGAUUGUAAAGCACUUUAAGUUGGGAGGAAGGGCAGUAAGUUAAUACCUUGCUGUUUUGACGUUACCAACAGGGUAAGCACCGGCUAACUUCGUG
Molecule: ribosomal RNA, 484 nt
Filed under: uncultured bacterium
Lineage: Bacteria
Description: partial 16S ribosomal RNA
Rfam family: Bacterial small subunit ribosomal RNA
Source: RNAcentral